Molecule: small nuclear RNA, 171 nt
Filed under: Rosa chinensis
Lineage: Eukaryota; Viridiplantae; Streptophyta; Magnoliopsida; Rosales; Rosaceae
Description: sRNA RchiOBHm_Chr1g0343561
Rfam family: U2 spliceosomal RNA
About the family: U2 is a small nuclear RNA (snRNA) component of the spliceosome (involved in pre-mRNA splicing). Complementary binding between U2 snRNA (in an area lying towards the 5' end but 3' to hairpin I) and the branchpoint sequence (BPS) of the intron results the bulging out of an unpaired adenosine, on the BPS, which initiates a nucleophilic attack at the intronic 5' splice site, thus starting the first of two transesterification reactions that mediate splicing.
Source: Rfam by way of RNAcentral
AUAAGUAGCUCACAAUAGCUACUUAUCAGUUUAAUAUCUGACACGUGGACCAAUGAUUCACACGAUAUUAAAUUAAUUUUUUGAAGGGGUGAGUCCGCCACAAUAGCUUGCUAUUGGGGCUCACGCGUGUCAUCCUUGUGUUGCACUACAGCAAGGGUUGGCGCACCCUAU